AAAGUGAACUGUGAAAAAGUUUAGUACGUUGAGGAAGACUUCAAUUCCUUGAAGAAACAUGUUUCUUCUUCUGCUCCUAACACCAACAAAGUAAUGCUUGUAACAAAUCCUAUUCUACAUUCAAGGACCAAGCACUUUGAACUGGAUCUUUAUUUCAUAAGGGAGAAAAUUCAGAAUCAUAAUCUUUUUGUUCAACGCAUUCCAUCUUUUGACCAGACAGCAGAUAUUUUAACCAAACCUAUUUCAGCUACCACACAUUCUUUAGAUGUCGUGCCAAACUCAGAGUCCAAUGUCUCUCCUUUUAGUUUGCAAGGCGACAAGGAUCAAAUUAGUUAAGUUGUUAGCUAUGUUACUUAUAGUCAAAGUAAUUAACUAUUGGUUAUGUCAGUUAGUUACUAUUAAGACUGUUAGUUAAUGAUCAACUACUUUGAUCAUCUCAGCUAUGUGUAUAUUUCGUAAACCUCCUUCACUUGUAACAAAUAAUUCAAUAAUAAAGAGGUAUUUCAGUAAAUUUCUAUUUCUCUCCAUAAUGAUAAAGAAAAAAUAUUAUCAACUAACUACUUAGCUAAUAAGAAGUUCAUUACACGAUGGACACAAGAUAUAACAAAUACUAACAAAGAAAACUCAGCUUCCUAUAAUAAUAAUAAUAUGCCAUUUCAAAUGCUUCAUUACUCAAACCAAACCUUUUAGAAAUGAUAUGCCAUUUUUUCUCCUUUUUUAUUCAGUUGGAUGGUUGCAUAUAUACUCUGACAGAAGGAGGCCUCACCAAUCACUAUUUGCAAGAAUAUGAGAAAACAAUUCCAAUGAAGGAUUAACAUAUGACAUAUGCUUUUUCAUUUACUGAAUAGAGAGGACUGGAAUUUGGAACUCUUCAUGGGAACAACAUGGCCUAUUAUGCUAUCACCUCAUUGUAAAAUUACCGAAGAAAAUAACUCUGGUUGGUUCUUCUA
This is a long non-coding RNA of Cicer arietinum (chickpea), 950 nucleotides long. RefSeq lists it as uncharacterized. NCBI's taxonomy places the organism in Eukaryota, Viridiplantae, Streptophyta, Magnoliopsida, Fabales, Fabaceae. The record is from RefSeq and is a predicted model, not a curated record.